AGAGAGUCAUUAGUUCUCUCAAAAGGGUGUGUAGAUAGCGUGAACUUUGGCCGGUUCUGUGGUCUGUGAAUC
RNAcentral lists this non-coding RNA (72 nucleotides) under unclassified sequences. RNAcentral describes it as "L13-Bacteroidia ribosomal protein leader". It matches the Rfam family "L13-Bacteroidia ribosomal protein leader". The record is from RNAcentral.